Molecule: non-coding RNA, 551 nt
Organism: Arachis ipaensis
Lineage: Eukaryota; Viridiplantae; Streptophyta; Magnoliopsida; Fabales; Fabaceae
Source: RefSeq, a predicted model, not a curated record
GCGUUCAUCUCAAUCCCCUUUCAGAAACCCUGUCACCGUCGAAGAAACCCUUCAAAGCUUACCAUCGCGAAGAAACCCUCUCGCUACAGAAACCCUCUCACUCACCACUCAUCGUCGCUCCUCUUCACCCUCCUCCUCGUUGCUGCGCCGCCCUCACCAGCGUCAUCUCUGCGCUUCUCAUCGUCCUUCCCCUUUCAAUUCAAUCGAGUAACCCUCAUUUCUGCGCUAUAUACUGAGCUUAAUGAAUAUUUUUUCUUUGAUUCAUCACCAAUUCACGCUACCUGUACAAACUCGCGCGCCUUCUCCUUCGAUUCGUCGCCGCUGCUCAUCUCUUCUUCAAGGGUUUUCACCUUCGAUUCGUCGUCGCUCAUCUCUUGUUCACCGUUGCCAGUCAUCACCGCGCUCACCAAUGUCAAAGAAACUGUAUGCUCUCUAGCGACCUCUUCUCUACUCUACUGUGAAGCAUCAAGGUUUCCAAUGAGGCAAAGCAUCGAUCCCUAACAAGCGAGGUAAGCGCCCGAUGAUGAUGAUGGUUCUGUGAAAUUUGGGAG